This 301-nucleotide ribosomal RNA is filed under the name uncultured bacterium. RNAcentral's name for it is "partial 16S ribosomal RNA". It matches the Rfam family "Bacterial small subunit ribosomal RNA", at positions 509 to 809 of the family's 1533-position model. The record is from RNAcentral.
CAGCAGCCACGGUAAUACGUAGGUGGCAAGCGUUGUCCGGAAUUAUUGGGCGUAAAGGGCUCGCAGGCGGUUUCAUAAGUCUGAUGUGAAAGCCCCCGGCUCAACCGGGGAGGGUCAUUGGAAACUGGGAAACUUGAGUGCAGAAGAGGAGAGUGGAAUUCCACGUGUAGCGGUGAAAUGCGUAGAGAUGUGGAGGAACACCAGUGGCGAAGGCGACUCUCUGGUCUGUAACUGACGCUGAGGAGCGAAAGCGUGGGGAGCGAACAGGAUUAGAUACCCGCGUAGUCCCUGUCUCUUAUAA